RNAcentral lists this transfer RNA (69 nucleotides) under Ictidomys tridecemlineatus (thirteen-lined ground squirrel). RNAcentral describes it as "Spermophilus tridecemlineatus (thirteen-lined ground squirrel) tRNA". It matches the Rfam family "tRNA". Rfam says of the family: Transfer RNA (tRNA) molecules are approximately 80 nucleotides in length. Their secondary structure includes four short double-helical elements and three loops (D, anti-codon, and T loops). Further hydrogen bonds mediate the characteristic L-shaped molecular structure. tRNAs have two regions of fundamental functional importance: the anti-codon, which is responsible for specific mRNA codon recognition, and the 3' end, to which the tRNAs corresponding amino acid is attached (by aminoacyl-tRNA synthetases). tRNAs cope with the degeneracy of the genetic code in two manners: having more than one tRNA (with a specific anti-codon) for a particular amino acid; and 'wobble' base-pairing, i.e. permitting non-standard base-pairing at the 3rd anti-codon position. The record is from Rfam by way of RNAcentral. Lineage: Eukaryota; Metazoa; Chordata; Mammalia; Rodentia; Sciuridae.
GGAAUUGUGGCUUAGUGAUAGAGUACUCACCUGGCGCGUGUGAGGUCCUGGGUUCGAUCCUCAGCACCU